UACAGAGGUCUCAAGCGUUGUUCGGAAUUACUGGGCGUAAAGGGUGCGCAGGCCGCGCGGGCAGUCAAAUGUGUAAUCCAGGGGCUCAACCCCUGAACUGCGCUUGAUACUUCCGCGCUCGAGCUUUGGAGAGGAGUCUGGAAUUCUCGGUGUAGCAGUGAAAUGCGUGGAUAUCGAGAAGAACACUUAGGGCGUAGGCAAGACUCUGGGCAAAUGCUGACGCUCAUGCACGAAGGCUAGGGUAGCGAACGGG
Molecule: ribosomal RNA, 253 nt
Filed under: uncultured bacterium
Lineage: Bacteria
Description: partial 16S ribosomal RNA
Rfam family: Bacterial small subunit ribosomal RNA
Source: RNAcentral